This 306-nucleotide ribosomal RNA is filed under the name uncultured bacterium. RNAcentral's name for it is "partial 16S ribosomal RNA". It matches the Rfam family "Bacterial small subunit ribosomal RNA", at positions 507 to 807 of the family's 1533-position model. The record is from RNAcentral.
GACAGCAGUAGCCGCGGUAAUACAGAGGGUGCGAGCGUUAAUCGGAUUUACUGGGCGUAAAGCGUGCGUAGGCGGCUUCUUAAGUCGGAUGUGAAAUCCCUGAGCUUAACUUAGGAAUUGCAUUCGAUACUGGGAAGCUAGAGUAUGGGAGAGGAUGGUAGAAUUCCAGGUGUAGCGGUGAAAUGCGUAGAGAUCUGGAGGAAUACCGAUGGCGAAGGCAGCCAUCUGGCCUAAUACUGACGCUGAGGUACGAAAGCAUGGGGAGCAAACAGGAUUAGAUACCCCUGUAGUCCCUGUCUCUUAUAC